UGGCGGCAGGCUUACACAUGCAGUCGAGCGGAAACGAUGAUAGCUUGCUAUCAGGCGUCGAGCGGCGGACGGGUGAGUAAUACUUAGGAAUCUACCUAGUAGUGGGGGAUAGCACGGGGAAACUCGUAUUAAUACCGCAUACGACCUACGGGAGAAAGGGGGCAGUUUACUGCUCUCGCUAUUAGAUGAGCCUAAGUCGGAUUAGCUAGAUGGUGGGGUAAAGGCCUACCAUGGCGACGAUCUGUAGCUGGUCUGAGAGGAUGAUCAGCCACACCGGGACUGAGACACGGCCCGGACUCCUACGGGAGGCAGCAGUGGGGAAUAUUGGACAAUGGGGGAAACCCUGAUCCAGCCAUGCCGCGUGUGUGAAGAAGGCCUUUUGGUUGUAAAGCACUUUAAGCAGUGAAGAAGACUCCGUGGUUAAUACCCACGGACGAUGACAUUAGCUGCAGAAUAAGCACCGGCUAACUCUGUGCCAGCAGCCGCGGUAAUACAGAGGGUGCAAGCGUUAAUCGGAAUUACUGGGCGUAAAGGGAGCGUAGGUGGCUCUAUAAGUCAGAUGUGAAAUCCCCGGGCUCAACCUGGGAACUGCAUCUGAAACUGUAGAGCUAGAGUAUGUGAGAGGAAGGUAGAAUUCCAGGUGUAGCGGUGAAAUGCGUAGAGAUCUGGAGGAAUACCGAUGGCGAAGGCAGCCUUCUGGCAUAAUACUGACACUGAGGCUCGAAAGCGUGGGUAGCAAACAGGAUUAGAUACCCUGGUAGUCCACGCCGUAAACGAUGUCUACUAGUCGUUGGGUCCCUUGAGGACUUAGUGACGCAGCUAACGCAAUAAGUAGACCGCCUGGGGAGUACGGCCGCAAGGUUAAAACUCAAAUGAAUUGACGGGGGCCCGCACAAGCGGUGGAGCAUGUGGUUUAAUUCGAUGCAACGCGAAGAACCUUACCUGGUCUUGACAUAUCUAGAAUCCUGCAGAGAUGCGGGAGUGCCUUCGGGAAUUAGAAUACAGGUGCUGCAUGGCUGUCGUCAGCUCGUGUCGUGAGAUGUUGGGUUAAGUCCCGCAACGAGCGCAACCCUUGUCCUUAGUUACCAGCGGGUUAAGCCGGGAACUCUAAGGAUACUGCCAGUGACAAACUGGAGGAAGGCGGGGACGACGUCAAGUCAUCAUGGCCCUUACGACCAGGGCUACACACGUGCUACAAUGGUAGGUACAGAGGGCAGCUACACAGCGAUGUGAUGCGAAUCUCAAAAAGCCUAUCGUAGUCCAGAUUGGAGUCUGCAACUCGACUCCAUGAAGUAGAAUCGCUAUAAUCGCGAUCAGAUGCC
Molecule: ribosomal RNA, 1322 nt
Filed under: Psychrobacter sp. AECF-23
Lineage: Bacteria; Pseudomonadati; Pseudomonadota; Gammaproteobacteria; Moraxellales; Moraxellaceae
Description: bacterial SSU rRNA
Rfam family: Bacterial small subunit ribosomal RNA
Source: RNAcentral